GCAGUCGUGGCCGAGUGUCUAAGGCGAUGGACUAAAAAUCCAUUGUGGUCUCCCCGCACAGGUUCGAAUCCUGUUGACAGCG
This 82-nucleotide transfer RNA is filed under the name Ixodes scapularis (black-legged tick). RNAcentral's name for it is "tRNA-Phe". It matches the Rfam family "tRNA". From Rfam's summary of the family: Transfer RNA (tRNA) molecules are approximately 80 nucleotides in length. Their secondary structure includes four short double-helical elements and three loops (D, anti-codon, and T loops). Further hydrogen bonds mediate the characteristic L-shaped molecular structure. tRNAs have two regions of fundamental functional importance: the anti-codon, which is responsible for specific mRNA codon recognition, and the 3' end, to which the tRNAs corresponding amino acid is attached (by aminoacyl-tRNA synthetases). tRNAs cope with the degeneracy of the genetic code in two manners: having more than one tRNA (with a specific anti-codon) for a particular amino acid; and 'wobble' base-pairing, i.e. permitting non-standard base-pairing at the 3rd anti-codon position. Lineage: Eukaryota; Metazoa; Arthropoda; Arachnida; Ixodida; Ixodidae. The record is from RNAcentral.